UACGUAGGGUGCGAGCGUUAAUCGGAAUUACUGGGCGUAAAGCGUGCGCAGGCGGUUCGUUGUGUCGGUGGUGAAAUCCCCGGGCUUAACCUGGGAAUGGCCAUGGAAACUGGCGAAUUGGAGUGCGGCAGAGGGGGGUGGAAUUCCGCGUGUAGCAGUGAAAUGCGUAGAGAUGCGGAGGAACACCGAUGGCGAAGGCAGCCCCCUGGACCGGUACUGACGCUGAGGCGCGAAAGCGUGGGUAGCAAACGGG
RNAcentral lists this ribosomal RNA (253 nucleotides) under uncultured bacterium. RNAcentral describes it as "partial 16S ribosomal RNA". It matches the Rfam family "Bacterial small subunit ribosomal RNA", at positions 524 to 776 of the family's 1533-position model. The record is from RNAcentral.